UACGGAGGGUGCAGGCGUUAUCCGGAUUUAUUAGGUUUAAAGGGUGCGCAGGCGGGACAUUAAGUCGGCGGUGAAAUACCGUAGCCCAACUACGGGGCUGCCGUCGAUACUGAUGACCUUGAGUUAUGGUGAGGUAACCGGAAUGUGGAGUGUAGCGGUGAAAUGCAUAGAUAUUCCACAGAACACCAAUUGCGAAGGCAGGUUACCAACUGUACACUGACGCUCAUGCACGAAAGCGCGGGUAG
RNAcentral lists this ribosomal RNA (245 nucleotides) under uncultured Bacteroidales bacterium. RNAcentral's name for it is "partial 16S ribosomal RNA". It matches the Rfam family "Bacterial small subunit ribosomal RNA", at positions 524 to 768 of the family's 1533-position model. The record is from RNAcentral. Lineage: Bacteria; Pseudomonadati; Bacteroidota; Bacteroidia; Bacteroidales.